This 496-nucleotide ribosomal RNA is filed under the name uncultured bacterium. Its description in RNAcentral is "partial 16S ribosomal RNA". It matches the Rfam family "Bacterial small subunit ribosomal RNA", at positions 29 to 507 of the family's 1533-position model. The record is from RNAcentral.
AUGAACGCUGGCGGCGUGCCUAAUACAUGCAAGUCGAGCGAACAGACGAGGAGCUUGCUCCUCUGACGUUAGCGGCGGACGGGUGAGUAACACGUGGAUAACCUACCUAUAAGACUGGGAUAACUUCGGGAAACCGGAGCUAAUACCGGAUAACAUGUUGAACCGCAUGGUUCAACAGUGAAAGACGGUCUUGCUGUCACUUAUAGAUGGAUCCGCGCCGCAUUAGCUAGUUGGUAAGGUAACGGCUUACCAAGGCAACGAUGCGUAGCCGACCUGAGAGGGUGAUCGGCCACACUGGAACUGAGACACGGUCCAGACUCCUACGGGAGGCAGCAGUAGGGAAUCUUCCGCAAUGGGCGAAAUCCUGACGGAGCAACGCCGCGUGAGUGAAGAAGGUCUUCGGAUCGUAAAACUCUGUUAUUAGGGAAGAACAAAUGUGUAAGUAACUAUGCACGUCUUGACGGUACCUAAUCAGAAAGCCACGGCUAACUACGUG